ACUAGACAGAAGGGGUAAGAAGUUGCAACAUGGUGAACAAACAGAUAAGGACGCUGUGGAAACUGAAAAGUUGUUGGACUUCAAGGAAAAGCUCACGGAAAUAAAUCUACUGAGGUUGCCGAAACUGUGUGUGGCCCAGGAUGUCUGUGAACUGCAAAUGACUGGAGGAUGGGG
This is a long non-coding RNA of Aquila chrysaetos chrysaetos, 174 nucleotides long. RefSeq lists it as uncharacterized. NCBI's taxonomy places the organism in Eukaryota, Metazoa, Chordata, Aves, Accipitriformes, Accipitridae. The transcript is spliced from 3 exons. The record is from RefSeq and is a predicted model, not a curated record.